This is a long non-coding RNA of Neopsephotus bourkii (Bourke's parrot), 1563 nucleotides long. RefSeq lists it as uncharacterized. The record is from RefSeq and is a predicted model, not a curated record. The transcript is spliced from 3 exons. NCBI's taxonomy places the organism in Eukaryota, Metazoa, Chordata, Aves, Psittaciformes, Psittacidae.
GGCCUGGAUGGAAAAGAGUAGAUGGGAGAAGGAUGGCUGUAAAGGGCAGAAAGAAACGGAUCCGGUCUGAAACAAAAACAUCUAAAUCUCAGGUGGUCACCUUGGCUCUCCUUAAAAAUAACAGGGAAUACUCAAGCACUCAGCUUUUGGGAGACACAUAGAAGAGGAUGAAUCUUGUUAAAACCUUGAGUUAUAGAAGUGUGAGGGGCAGGCUUUAUCUCAUUUCAUUUCAGAAGUCUACAGCACAUCUGACCAGAUCACAGUCAACAGGGAGAUAAAGUACUGCUGAGGGUGCAAUUGCUUAGUGUACAUAGAUGUUUGUUGAGAAUGGGGUAACUUGUGUCCUAAAAGUGCCUGUUUCUCUCUCUGAAUUGCAAAGGGAAACCAGUUGAGUAGGGUUCUAAUUGACAUCUCCCUUUCGGGAGGGAAAUGUCGUAUCUUGAGAAGCAUCUUCAGAGAGGAUUCAGGGAGCCCAGCACUUGAGGUCCGAGGCUCCAAUUCCUACCUGCCCAGUGGAAAACUGUUGCCCUGAGGGAGGAUGAACAUUCCACUUGGAAACCAAGUUCAUGAUCCGGUCAGGCCAUGGGAUGCUCUCAUACUGAGCCCACCAGCGGGACACCACCAGAGCCACGUAGAAACCUAGAGGAUCAGCCUAAAAGGAAGAAACAGAAGCAUCAUUCUCAAAGAAGAGUCUAUGCCUUGUUGGGCCUGCUGAGGUAUAGGAGCCUGGCAAAGGAAGCCAAGGAUGUGUAGUCAGAACACUGUCAUGCCAUGCCAUGAGGAUGCUGUGAGUGAACGCUGCUCAUGAGCCCACCUCCCAAAAUACCCUGCUGACCAGUCCAAAGGAGCCAGAAUGGUCACUGACAGGUGUAAGUGAUGCAGGUUGAUGUCAGGGACUACCACUUUUUUCAUACUCAGUGCUGUGUCGUACCAAGGGUUUGACACAGAGCUUGGGUGUGCACUGCAGUUCACUUAAUACCCCACAAAAUGUGAGCCCAAGCUCUGCUCUUACGUGAGCUCCUGUCUUUUUCUUAGAGCCACUUCCCUGCUUCUGUGCUGCAUUUGUGAUCAGCACAGAGCUCCCUCUUUCCUCAUCAGAUUUUCUUUUACAAGGGCCUGUAGGGACAGGCCAAGGGGAAUGGCUUGAACCUGCCAGAGGGGAGACUGGGAUGAGCUCUUAGGCAGAAGCUCUUCCCUGUGAGGGUGCUGAGGCGCUGGCACAGGGUGCCCAGAGAAGCUGUGGCUGCCCCAUCCCUGACAGUGCUCAAGGCCAGGUUGGACACAGGGGCUUGGAGCAAGCUGCUCCAGUGGAAGGUGUCCCUGCCCGUGGCAGGGGUUGGAACUGGAUGAGCUUGAAGGUCCCUUCCAACUCAAACCAGUCUGGGAUUCUAUGAAAAUCAGAGUGGCCACAGUUGCCUCAUUACAGAUCUGUGGUCCCAGGGCUGAUGUCAGCUCUCAGAAAUGUACCCAAGGCAUUGCCUGUUGUGUAACAAGGGAAACUCUUGCCUAAAGCUCCUGGCUGUGGGCCAUCUCCAGGACCAGUUCAAUCAUGGUCUCCAUUGA